Molecule: ribosomal RNA, 535 nt
Filed under: Triticum dicoccoides
Lineage: Eukaryota; Viridiplantae; Streptophyta; Magnoliopsida; Poales; Poaceae
Description: rRNA LSU_rRNA_eukarya
Rfam family: Bacterial large subunit ribosomal RNA
Source: RNAcentral
CUUAGCGAACUGAAACAUCUGAGUAGCUAAAGGAAGGAAAAUCAACCGAGACCCCGUUAGUAGCGGCGAGCGAGAGCGGAACAAGGGUUUUCAUCAAAAGAAAUCCGAAGCGGUUUCAUUCGAUUUGUUGUGGAUUGGAUGAUGGAAAAACCAGCAAGCAGCAAGCGUAGUUAGAAAAGUUGCCGUAGCGCGCCCUACGGAGUUGUACAAAGUCAGCAACCGUUUUGGGGCGCAAGCAUAGGCAACACAGGACUGAUGACGGGGUGGGGCGCGCAGUGAACUGGUUUUCUAAAAAGAUUGGAAGAUCCGGCCAAAGAAGGUGAUAGCCCUGUUCAUUCGUUCCCAUGGUUCGAUCCUUCCCAGUAAAACGCGGCGUGUUCGAAUGAUGAUCGCUUUUACGCGAGAAAGGGGGACCACCCUCUAAGCCUAAGUAUUCCUCAAUGACCGAUAGCGUACAAGUACCGUGAGGGAAAGGUGAAAAGAACCCCAAUCGGGGAGUGCAAUAGAGAACCUGAGAUCCGAUGCGAACAAUCAG